Molecule: ribosomal RNA, 269 nt
Filed under: uncultured prokaryote
Description: partial 16S ribosomal RNA
Rfam family: Bacterial small subunit ribosomal RNA
Source: RNAcentral
UACGUAGGUGGCAAGCGUUGUCCGGAUUUACUGGGCGUAAAGGGAGCGUAGGCGGACUUUUAAGUGAGAUGUGAAAUACCCGGGCUCAACUUGGGUGCUGCAUUUCAAACUGGAAGUCUAGAGUGCAGGAGAGGAGAAUGGAAUUCCUAGUGUAGCGGUGAAAUGCGUAGAGAUUAGGAAGAACACCAGUGGCGAAGGCGAUUCUCUGGACUGUAACCGACGCUGAGGCUCGAAAGCGUGGGGAGCAAACAGGAUUAGAUACCCUGGUA